GGAAGACAGAAUGUGAACAUGUGCAAGCCAAAAUGAUUUGAUGUAGUCACUUUAAUGGAAAAUUUUGAGCAAUACAUUUGCAUAACAUGCUGGGUUUUAUAGUGGGGAAAGAGUCAUUUGCUUAUCUUGAAAAGAAAAUAAGUUUAGUACUUUACCCAGAUUCAGAGGAUCACUUCUGAAUGAGAAAAAUUAUGAGAUGAAAAAAGGAAAUAAAGUUUUAAUACUACAAGUCUAUUAGAGUAUGUGCUUAUGAAGACGAUUUUAGUCAAUGCACAAAGUUUUGCUUUAAAAUCAUCAGGGCGUUGCUUUGUACUUAAUUGUUCAAGGGCCAAUAUAAUUCUUUCAAAUAUUUUGUUAUUUAAAUAAGCAUAGCAUAUAUGGUAGCUAAAACUACCUGCUCUCCUAAAUCUGCGUGUUGUGGACUAUAUUAAGAAAUGUCAUUUUGAUGAAUCUUUCCUACACAUGAACAAAUUAAAUGAAGUUAUUUAAAAUGCAUAGUAGUUUAACUGAGUACAUGCAGCAGAAAGACUAGCGAUGAUAUAAAUGUUAAGCAGGAGGAACAAAAUACUAAAUCCUCUAAAUAGACCUUGAAAAAGAAGACUUUUUGAACUUCAAGAAACAGCACCUACAAUUUUCUAUUCAAAAUUGCAAAGGGUAUUUGUGGUCUUUUUAAAAUUUGUAAGUGACAAAGUAGCUAUACCUCCAAGUUACAGAACACUGAGAGUGGUAAAGUAUCUCAGAACUGAAAAGGUAGAACCCAAGUACCUGUAAAGAAGAUGAUAAUGGAAAGCAAACAUCAUUCUGCAGAAUUCCAGAAAGGCUUUUGAAUUGAAGUAACUGGUACAAUUUCUGCAGAAAGAGGAGGUGGAAAUUGGCACAUUGAAAGUUUCUAUGACAAAGAGACCUUUAACUUCCUAUCUCC
Molecule: long non-coding RNA, 922 nt
Filed under: Marmota monax (woodchuck)
Lineage: Eukaryota; Metazoa; Chordata; Mammalia; Rodentia; Sciuridae
Source: RNAcentral